RNAcentral lists this unclassified non-coding RNA (240 nucleotides) under soil metagenome. RNAcentral's name for it is "partial contains 5.8S ribosomal RNA, internal transcribed spacer 2, and large subunit ribosomal RNA". The record is from RNAcentral.
AAGACUAUAGACCUGCGGAGUACCUGCGGAGGGAUCAUUAUCGUAUUGUAACAAUUGGGGGGGCCACCGUGGGCUGUCGCUGACCCUUUGAAAGGGGGGUCGUGCACGCCCCCAUAGUGUCAUCCUCAUACAAUCCAACUCACCUCUGUGCAUCACCGCGUGGGUUCCUUUCUGGGUCGAGUCAGACUGGCUCAGAAAAAAGGGGCUUGCGUUUUCCAUCCAAAUACCCUUAUAAAUCCA